RNAcentral lists this ribosomal RNA (663 nucleotides) under uncultured bacterium. Its description in RNAcentral is "bacterial SSU rRNA". It matches the Rfam family "Bacterial small subunit ribosomal RNA", at positions 154 to 816 of the family's 1533-position model. The record is from RNAcentral.
AAAGAAAGAUUAAUACCCGAUGGCAUAGUUCUUCCGCAUGGUAGAACUAUUAAAGAAUUUCGGUCAUCGAUGGGGAUGCGUUCCAUUAGGUUGUUGGCGGGGUAACGGCCCACCAAGCCUUCGAUGGAUAGGGGUUCUGAGAGGAAGGUCCCCCACAUUGGAACUGAGACACGGUCCAAACUCCUACGGGAGGCAGCAGUGAGGAAUAUUGGUCAAUGGACGAGAGUCUGAACCAGCCAAGUAGCGUGAAGGAUGACUGCCCUAUGGGUUGUAAACUUCUUUUAUACGGGAAUAAAGUGAGGCACGCGUGCCUUUUUGUAUGUACCGUAUGAAUAAGGAUCGGCUAACUCCGUGCCAGCAGCCGCGGUAAUACGGAGGAUCCGAGCGUUAUCCGGAUUUAUUGGGUUUAAAGGGAGCGUAGGCGGACGCUUAAGUCAGUUGUGAAAGUUUGCGGCUCAACCGUAAAAUUGCAGUUGAUACUGGGUGUCUUGAGUACAGUAGAGGCAGGCGGAAUUCGUGGUGUAGCGGUGAAAUGCUUAGAUAUCACGAAGAACUCCGAUUGCGAAGGCAGCCUGCUGGACUGUAACUGACGCUGAUGCUCGAAAGUGUGGGUAUCAAACAGGAUUAGAUACCCUGGUAGUCCACACAGUAAACGAUGAAUAC